AUUAGUGGCGAACGGGUGAGUAAUACGUGAGUAACCUACCUUUAACUCUGGGAUAAGCCUGGGAAACUGGGUCUAAUACCGGAUACGACCAAUCUCCGCAUGGGGUGUUGGUGGAAAGCGUUAUGUAGUGGUUAUAGAUGGGCUCACGGCCUAUCAGCUUGUUGGUGAGGUAACGGCUCACCAAGGCGACGACGGGUAGCCGGCCUGAGAGGGUGACCGGCCACACUGGGACUGAGACACGGCCCAA
Molecule: ribosomal RNA, 247 nt
Filed under: uncultured bacterium
Lineage: Bacteria
Description: partial 16S ribosomal RNA
Rfam family: Bacterial small subunit ribosomal RNA
Source: RNAcentral